This 253-nucleotide ribosomal RNA is filed under the name uncultured bacterium. RNAcentral's name for it is "partial 16S ribosomal RNA". It matches the Rfam family "Bacterial small subunit ribosomal RNA", at positions 524 to 776 of the family's 1533-position model. The record is from RNAcentral.
UACGGAGGGUGCAAGCGUUGUUCGGAAUUACUGGGCGUAAAGCGCGUGUAGGCGGCUUGGCAAGUCAGAUGUGAAAUCCCCGGGCUCAACCCUGGAACUGCAUCUGAAACUACCUGGCUAGAGUCUCGGAGAGGAAGGCAGAAUUCCCGGUGUAGGGGUGAAAUCCGUAGAUACCGGGAGGAAUACCAGUAGCGAAGGCGGCCUUCUGGACGAAGACUGACGCUCAGACGCGAAAGCGUGGGGAGCAAACAGG